Molecule: long non-coding RNA, 1482 nt
Filed under: Anas platyrhynchos platyrhynchos (common mallard)
Lineage: Eukaryota; Metazoa; Chordata; Aves; Anseriformes; Anatidae
Description: lncRNA (ENSAPLG00000021770.1)
Source: RNAcentral
UGGUCAGAGCAGUGUGCAGCCUGGCGUGCCUUGUGGAGCCCCCUUGGUGGUGGGAUGCCUGUGCGGGGUAAAGGAGGAGUUAACCAAAACCUUCAAACGCAACCAGCUCCCCUGUGGCAGAGCCGAGGAAGCGAGCUCCGAGCUUAGGUUUCUGCACAGUGUUUGGGUUUUUUGAUCUGGCAUCCAGUUUGGAUGCCUGAAGUUUCUAAAGCUGGCCUGGCGUGACUCGGAUCCUAUUUGAAACGUUGGCAAAACUCAUGUGGAAUUCAGCAAUGCGAGGGAGAGCCGGGUUUUGGAGCGCAUCAGCGGUUGGGGACAGGGACUGUCAUCUACCCUUUGUCUGUAGGGCACCUAGCACGACACGGUCCUGGCGACAGGAGGCUCCGAGCCAUAAUGGCAAUGCAAACAGCAAAUAACAACGUUUUGUGAGGUGAGCAGGGCUUAGGGCAAGCAUAUAUGUAAGUCGCAUGCAUGCAUGUGUACGGGUAAGUGCCAGAGGCAGGGACUCACAAAUAUUUAACCACAAUAAACAGAGACACAUUUUCUUCCCUUUUCCCGAGGAGCCGGUCAUCCAUCCAGCUAUUUUAUUUAUUUAUUAAAUAUCACUGGAGAUAGUUCAGCAGCAGGGGCGCGCUGCUCUGUCUCCCGGCCGAUGAUUGCCAUCAGGCUGGAGAAAUCAGUCAUUUCUGGCAAGAAAAAAAACCGUUCGGUGGGUUAAUGAUGCAGGGUAAAUACUGACAGUGGCCAGUGGUCUGAGCACACCAGACAUGACCUAAGGGAAUCAUAGAUUCCGAGGGGGCUGCUGUGUCUCCGUAAUGUGAUUGCCUCUUUAUAAUGGCCUCAACUUUUUUUUUUUUUCUUCCUUUUUUUUUUUUUUUUUUUUUCUCCCUUCCCCUUUAUCAUUAUUGACCAAGGAGCAUCAGUGAGGCUGGAGAAUAAAUAGUUCCCUGAUGGUUAACAACAGGCCCUCCACCGAUUGCAAAGCCAGCCGGGCUCCAGCAUCACGAUAGAAGCGGGGGGCACCCCAGGAGGCUCCCCUGCGGCUGUGGGGCGCAGGCACCGGCACGGGACGCGGCCACAAACCCCGUCCCCUGCGCUCCCCCUCUCCAUCCCCAUCCCCAGCUCCGUCUGGGCGCUGCUGGCCGGGGCUGUUUGCACAACCUCCCCCGGCUGGGGCUGGCUCCAGGCUCCCGGGGGCGGGAGGUGCUGCUUUUCCAGCGGGUAUUUGUCGGGUCAGAGGCUGCGCCGCCCGCCGGGCUCCGCGCCUCGCUCCCCGGGUUAUUUAUUGCCUCGCUCCCCGGCGGCAGCGCUGCGGCUCCGGGGCUGCUGCCAGCAACCCGCGGCGGCGGCGGGGAACCCGUCGGGGGGUUCCCGAGAAGCGACGAGGCCGUUUUUAUUUCUUGUGCGCCGGGUCGGGUUGUUUCCCUUGCCAGCAGGCUGCGUGCGUAGGGUCCCUCCACGGCUUUCACCUCCGGGGUUGUG